This is a non-coding RNA of Xylariaceae sp. FL1019, 103 nucleotides long. NCBI's taxonomy places the organism in Eukaryota, Fungi, Ascomycota, Sordariomycetes, Xylariales, Xylariaceae. The record is from the annotation of a GenBank genome assembly.
GGUCGGUUAGCUCAGUUGGUCAGAGCAUCGCAAUUACAUUCAUAUCGGUCGGGAUCAUGUCGAGUUACUGCGAAGGCCAUAGUUUCAAGCCCUAUACUGACCA